GGUUAAGCGACUAAGCGUACACGGUGGAUGCCCUGGCAGUCAGAGGCGAUGAAGGACGUGCUAAUCUGCGAAAAGCGUCGGUAAGGUGAUAUGAACCGUUACAGCCGGCGAUGUCCGAAUGGGGAAACCCAGUGCAAUUCGUUGCACUAUCGUUAACUGAAUACAUAGGUUAACGAGGCGAACCGGGGGAACUGAAACAUCUAAGUACCCCGAGGAAAAGAAAUCAACCGAGAUUCCCCCAGUAGCGGCGAGCGAACGGGGAGCAGCCCAGAGUCUGAAUCAGCUUGUGUGUUAGUGGAACGGUCUGGAAAGUCCGACGGUACAGGGUGAUAGUCCCGUACACCAAAAUGCACAGGCUGUGAACUCGAAGAGUAGGGCGGGACACGUGGUAUCCUGUCUGAAUAUGGGGGGACCAUCCUCCAAGGCUAAAUACUCCUGACUGACCGAUAGUGAACCAGUACCGUGAGGGAAAGGCGAAAAGAACCCCGGCGAGGGGAGUGAAAAAGAACCUGAAACCGUGUACGUACAAGCAGUGGGAGCACCUUCGGGUGUGACUGCGUACCUUUUGUAUAAUGGGUCAGCGACUUAUAUUCUGUAGCAAGGUUAACCGUAUAGGGGAGCCGCAGGGAAACCGAGUCUUAACUGGGCGUUAAGUUGCAGGGUAUAGACCCGAAACCCGGUGAUCUAGCCAUGGGCAGGUUGAAGGUUGGGUAACACUAACUGGAGGACCGAACCGACUAAUGUUGAAAAAUUAGCGGAUGACUUGUGGCUGGGGGUGAAAGGCCAAUCAAACCGGGAGAUAGCUGGUUCUCCCCGAAAGCUAUUUAGGUAGCGCCUCGUGAAUUCAUCUUCGGGGGUAGAGCACUGUUUCGGCUAGGGGGUCAUCCCGACUUACCAACCCGAUGCAAACUACGAAUACCGAAGAAUGUUAUCACGGGAGACACACGGCGGGUGCUAACGUCCGUCGUGAAGAGGGAAACAACCCAGACCGCCAGCUAAGGUCCCAAAGUCAUGGUUAAGUGGGAAACGAUGUGGGAAGGCACAGACAGCCAGGAUGUUGGCUUAGAAGCAGCCAUCAUUUAAAGAAAGCGUAAUAGCUCACUGGUCGAGUCGGCCUGCGCGGAAGAUGUAACGGGGCUAAACCAUGCACCGAAGCUGCGGCAGCGACACUAUGUGUUGUUGGGUAGGGGAGCGUUCUGUAAGCCUGCGAAGGUGACCUGUGAGGGUUGCUGGAGGUAUCAGAAGUGCGAAUGCUGACAUAAGUAACGAUAAAGCGGGUGAAAAGCCCGCUCGCCGGAAGACCAAGGGUUCCUGUCCAACGUUAAUCGGGGCAGGGUGAGUCGACCCCUAAGGCGAGGCCGAAAGGCGUAGUCGAUGGGAAACAGGUUAAUAUUCCUGUACUUGGUGUUACUGCGAAGGGGGGACGGAGAAGGCUAUGUUAGCCGGGCGACGGUUGUCCCGGUUUAAGCAUGUAGGCUGGUU
Molecule: ribosomal RNA, 1482 nt
Filed under: Klebsiella pneumoniae
Lineage: Bacteria; Pseudomonadati; Pseudomonadota; Gammaproteobacteria; Enterobacterales; Enterobacteriaceae
Description: partial 23S ribosomal RNA
Rfam family: Bacterial large subunit ribosomal RNA
Source: RNAcentral